Lolium perenne is the source of this 1070-nucleotide non-coding RNA. Lineage: Eukaryota; Viridiplantae; Streptophyta; Magnoliopsida; Poales; Poaceae. The record is from RefSeq and is a predicted model, not a curated record.
CACAGGGUUCACGACAACGAGGUCGAUGCCACGCUUCCUGGCUGCCUCCCACGCGGCCUGCUCCGCCACGGCCUUGCCGUAGCAGUACCAGUUCUGGUUCACCAUCGGGUGGAGGCAUGCAUCAGUACAAGUCGUGAUCAGAAUUCGAGGUCGCUCCAGCAGGACUCGUCGACAACUACGUCAGGACCGCGGUUGGGGUCCAUGGUGACGGCGCCGAUGGACGAUGUGAACACCACCCGGCGCACCGUUCCUGCAUCCGCCGCUGCGUUGAUCACGUACUCCGUGCCCCGCACCGCCGGCUCCACCAUCUGCUCCUGCUCAAACGCGAGAGUUCACAACCUGCAGUUGUCAGCAGCAACCCGCCAUAUAUGCAUCACUACGCAAUGAACAACAAGAGGGAGGCGCGUGGUGCAUACAGGAUCAUCGGUGACUGGGGAGGCGGUGUGGAACACGCCGUGGCAGCCCUCGGCGGCGGCGCAUAUGGCAUCGUAGUCGAGGAGGUCGGCUUUGCAGAGGAUCAGCCUCUCGACGGCGCCGUCCAGCGCCUUCAGUGUGCAUGCCUGGGUUCCUCACUGUGCCCUUCACGGUGUAGCCUCUCUCCAGCAGCAGCUUGACGAGCCAAGACGCGAUGUAUCCGGCAGCGCCGGUGACACACACGGUCUGCCCAUGGCCAGGCAGCUGCUGCGCGACGGUGUUGACAACAGUCAUUGUCGCUCUUACGGUACUACUGUACUUAUCUAAACUAGCCUGUUGGUGAGAUGGAAGAGCUACGGACGAACUAAUGGACAGAAGAACGAGCUCUUGAUUUAAGUUUGGUAUUGUUCUUAGAGUGGAGGCGUGGAGUCUAGCUAAAAUUUAUAAUGCUGGGCAAGGGAAGUAGCUGAGAGGGCCUGGGGUGGCCGUGCGUGCGUUUGUGUGUGACAGCUUGGUGGUCCCUGGAGACAGCGACCUCGAGUUAGGUAAGGCAAUAGUACUGAUUAUUCCUGGUUUUCAGAGUUCUAAUGAAUCGUGAUCAGGUGAAACUGGCUGCAAAAAUAAAUGAAACGGGUGAAACUUAUGCCUUUAUUUUA